GAUCUGUACUGGGGAAGCUGAUUGCUUGCAUUAUAUGAACACUGCCUACUGGUUUUAGAGAUGAUGUAAGGAUGUGGUUAGCCAACCUGUGUUUGUCAGUCACAUUUAAUAUUUAGGGUGGUGGUAAUAUUCACAACAAACAACCCAUUAUAAACCCACACAAAUCUACUGUGGUUACAAGUCAGUCACAUUGAAAAGUCUUCUAAUGAUGUAAAUUGUUUAAAUGUAUCUGUUUAAACAAUAGCCCCCCAAAAAAUCAUGCUAAUUACUGGUUUGGUUUUCAGGCUGAG
Molecule: non-coding RNA, 290 nt
Organism: Pelobates cultripes (western spadefoot toad)
Lineage: Eukaryota; Metazoa; Chordata; Amphibia; Anura; Pelobatidae
Source: the annotation of a GenBank genome assembly